CACCCUUCCCAGCUGUUGGCUAAGAUCAAGUGCAUCAUCUUUUUUAUCACUUUAUUGUCUGAUACAUCCUCAGCUUAAAGAUUUUAUAUUAAAUGGAUUUGGAAGGCAUGGAAAGGAAUAAUUAUUUCCUCCACUCCAUGCAUCAACCCAGAUGUGCAGUGCUUCCAGCUAUAGUGGUCACACU
Molecule: small nuclear RNA, 184 nt
Organism: Prinia subflava (tawny-flanked prinia)
Lineage: Eukaryota; Metazoa; Chordata; Aves; Passeriformes; Cisticolidae
Product: U2 spliceosomal RNA
Exons: 1
Source: RefSeq, a predicted model, not a curated record